UUUUGAGCGUUCGGUGGAUGCCUUGGCAUCAGGAGCCGAUGAAGGACGUGGUGGCCUGCGAUAUGCCUCGGGGAGCCGGCUAACGGGCUGUGAUCCGAGGGUUUCCGAAUGGGGGGACCCGGCACCAGUUAUGUGGUGUCACCUGCAUCUGAAUUCAUAGGGUGUAGGGGGUGACGCGGGGAAGUGAAACAUCUCAGUACCCGCAGGAGAAGAUAUUCCGUGAGUAGUGGCGAGCGAAAGCGGAUGAUGGUUAAACCGUUUCCGUGUGAUGACCCGGCAGGGGUUGCGGUUGCGGUGUUGUGGGGCGCAUCUUUCUCACGUCUGCCGGCGUGGGGCGCAGUGAGAAACUCGCAUGGUAGCUGAAUCCUUUGGGAAGGGGAGGCGUAGUGGGUGAGACCCCCGUAGGCGAAACUGUGUGGGCUGUGUGGGUGCGUUGCCCGAGUAGCACGGGGCUCGUGGAAUCCUGUGUGAAUCUGCCAAGACCACUUGGUUGCCUGAAUACUUCCUGAUGACCGAUAGCGGAUAGUACCGUGAGGGAAUGGUGAAAAGUACCCCGGGAGGGGAGUGAAAUAGUACCUGAAACCGGGCGCUUACAAGCCGUCAGAGGCCUGCUGGGCUGAUGGCGUGCCUAUUGAAGAAUGAGCCUGCGAGUUAGUGCUGUGUCGCGAGGUUAACCCGUUGGGGGGAGUCGUAGCGAAAGCGAGUCCGAAAGGGCGUUUUAGUGGCACGGUCUAGACCCGAAGCGGGGUGAUCUACCCAUGGCCAGGUUGAAGCACGUGUAAGAGCGUGUGGAGGACCGAACCCACUUCAGUUGAAAAUGGAGGGGAUGAGCUGUGGGUAGGGGUGAAAGGCCAAUCAAACUCCGUGAUAGCUGGUUCUCCCCGAAAUGCAUUUAGGUGCAGCGUCCCGUGGUCCCCGGCGGAGGUAGAGCUACUGGGUGGCUGAUCGGCCCCACAGGGUUAGUGACGUCAACCAAACUCCGAAUGCCGUUCGGGUUACAGCGGGGCAGUGAGACUGCGGGGGAUAAGCUCCGUGGUCGAAAGGGAAACAGCCCAGAUCGCCGGCUAAGGCCCCUAAGCGUGUGCUAAGUGGGAAAGGAUGUGCGGUCGCGCAGACAACCAGGAGGUUGGCUUAGAAGCAGCCAUCCUUGAAAGAGUGCGUAACAGCUCACUGGUCAAGUGAUUCUGCGCCGAUAAUGUAGCGGGGCUCAAGUACACCGCCGAAGUUGUGGCAAUGAUCUUUUUGGAUUGUUGGGUAGGGGAGCGUCGUGUAGCCAGUGAAGCUGCGGUGUAAACCAGUGGUGGAGGCUAUGCGAGUGAGAAUGCAGGCAUGAGUAGCGAAAGAUGAGUGAGAAACUCAUCCGCCGGAUGAUCAAGGGUUCCAGGGUCAAGUUAAUCUGCCCUGGGUUAGUCGGGGCCUAAGGCGAGGCCGACAGGCGUAGUCGAUGGAUAACGGGUUGAUAUUCCCGUACCGGUAAAAAACCGCCCAUACUGAUAUUGUGAUGCUAACCAUGCGAAGCAUGAUGUGCAGGCUUUUGUUUGUGUGUUGUGUGGGUUGUGGGACCCGAUCUUUGGAGGUAAACGUAUUAACAGGUGUGACGCAGGAAGGUAGCCAAGCCACGCGAUGGUUGUCGUGGUCUAAGCGUGUAGGGUUGUCGGUUGUUAAAUGCGCCGGCUGUGUGCCUGAGACGUGAUGGGACCCCGUUUUUGGGGGAUUUGGUGAUCCUAUGCUGCCGAGAAAAGCAUCGGCGUGAGGUUUUAGCCGCCCGUACCCUAAACCGACACAGGUGAUCAGGUAGAGAAUACUAAGGCGAUCGAGAGAAUCAUGGUUAAGGAACUCGGCAAAAUGCCCCCGUAACUUCGGGAGAAGGGGGACCUUGAGCGUGAUGGGCACUUGCUGCCUGGAGCGUGUAUGGGUCGCAGAGACCAGGGGGAAGCGACUGUUUAUCAAAAACACAGGU
Molecule: ribosomal RNA, 1960 nt
Filed under: Skeletonema menzelii
Lineage: Eukaryota; Bacillariophyta; Thalassiosirophyceae; Thalassiosirales; Thalassiosiraceae
Description: partial Bacterial large subunit ribosomal RNA
Rfam family: Bacterial large subunit ribosomal RNA
Source: RNAcentral